CGUCCUCCCGGUCGCCGUGGUCCCCGUGAGCGGGUCCCGCCAACGGGAAUCAAUUCUCGGCGGGGCGGUGAGCCGAUAAAAGCGGGGCGGCGGCGUCUCUCGACGGCUGAAGGUGAGGUGAGGAAAAGUAAGUUACGGAGUAGAAAAGUCUGGGCUACUUCCCAUUCCCCCUUUGCCGUCCAUCUCCUUCCUUUGUUUUGGUGGUCAGCAUUUUCCUUCCAUGCCCUCUCCCCUGAUGUGGGUUGGCCGCCUGCCGUUCUUGCGCGGGUGAUGCUGACGUUGAAAGCCGGGUUCAAGGAUUUAGGAGGGUUGGAUGCGAGCGCCCAUCUCCUUGGAUAUUGGUGCAGCAGAUGUACAUCCAUCUCUCUGUGCUGCAAAGUUACUAUUGCGGGCAUCUGUUGUAAGAGUUGACACUUGACAGGUUGUUCGGAGUUCUGUGCCCGGCUAAAGAAGCUACGGAAUCAGCUUUUAAGGAUGGAAAACAGCUAUUGAUAUGAUGCCAUUGGCCAGCAUGCAGUUCCAGUACCUUAUGGUUGAGGAAAAGUUAUAUAGAGAUCUAUCCAGAUAUGAUGCCACUGCAAAUGCUCAUGUGCAAAAUUUACUCUGUUUCGCAUUGCACUAUCAUCAUUGUCACUCCAUGAGUAUUAGUUGAGGAAAGUGGGGUUUGGAACUCUAGCAGAGCAACUGAAGAAAAGUGGUGUUUCAGCUUUAGUUGUAUUCUACAAGAGUUUGGGUGGGUAAAUUUGGCUUUCCUUUCUUGUCCCUGUGAAGCCCCUUCGAUGCCACGUCUUCCAUUAUCUGCCAGCGCAACCUCGGGCUCCCCUCGUUGCCUGUGGUAAGUAAUCUCUUUCUUUAUGACGAUGCAGGUUGUCUGUUUUUUCAGUUUUUAGUUUUGCUCCAGGUUGUCCUCUCAAUGCUUCCCUUGGUUGCUCUUAGGCGAGGCCUUCACGCCCCAAGUAUUAUGUGUUCUCUCACUCCAGCCUUUUUGUUUGCUCAAGUAAACUUUGUCUUUCAUUUCCUUGUCGUGCGAGACUUCAUGGCCUUUCAUUCUCCGCUCAUAUUUUUUCCUCCUGUUCCUUCUACAGCCAGGUCUGCAUUUUUCGCUCAUCUUUUGUUCUUUAUUCAACAUUCUUCUGUAAAUUUUCCCCAGUUCUGAAUGUUACUCCAUGGUUAGCUUAACGUUUCUUCACCAUUAUGUAUGAGCAUGCCCAUUAUCCUCUUAAACCUUGCUAAACUACCCACCCACCCAACAGCUUUUAGUGACGGGCGAACCCAGAUCGUUAUAUUUACCUCUUGAUUGUUUCUUCAUCAUUUGUUUCUAUUUCGUUGGUUUAUCUGUUCAUUUUUUUGUAAAGUGGCUUACCACUGUGACCUGUUUUUAUUACCAGAGUAGCUGAUCUUCCUCUCGACUGAAAUUAUUCCUUUCGUAUAUGCCGGUUUUUAGUUAUAUAUGUAUAGUUGUGUUUAAACAUAAAGGAAUGACAAGAAGCUAUAUAUUUUCCUUGGUUGUAGUCAUUAUUCUACAUGGUGCAGAAUGCCACCGCUGCUCAGGGUCACGCGAGUCAUUCUGGGGUAUGCACAACAGUGCUGGUCAUCGAUGUGCUAUAUCACAGAUCCUCCUCUUGCAUUUGUUAAACUGGCUCACGGUGUCCAUAGCCUUAUUAAACAUGCAGAAAUUACAUAUUGGAAAUUAAGUAAGGAUCAUGUACUUUUUUAUAUAUCUAUAAUUGAUUGGGUGAACUUGUUUUUCUUUGUCUCUGCUUGUCUGUAUAAUUUGUAAAUAGUAACUUUUGUUAGCAUUUGAGGAAUUCACAUUUAUAUUUUAUACCUGCAUUACUUGCCAAUUGCCAGUGUACAAUAGAUUAGUUCAGAACUUGGGUCAUAUUCAGUUCCAAUUGUAUUUCUCAUUGAUCGAUGGUUUGUUCGCUGCUGCAAGAUCGAACUCAUUGAUCGAUGGAUUUUGUUGCUCAUUUGAUAGUUCUGGACUUCUCAUGUAGUUCGCAUCUACUUCAUACUCAUUUAGUUCAUAUUUGUUUAUUGUAGUACCUCUGCCUCUUGCCAAAUGAUACAAAGUGGGUAAUUCUUCGACGAUCAUAGUAAUACCAAGUGGCUAUAUGCUUUUUAUCUGUUAAACAUGUUUUAAGAGAAGAUUCAGGCGACGGUUGGAGGACUAGGGAAAGCGGUGCUCAUGAAGGGGACAGCAACAACGAUGGCCAUGGGGAAAGGGAGAGAGGCCAGUUGGAGACAACGACGACGACGGUGGCCGAAUCGGAGCACAUCACCAUCUCCUUCCUCCUGCAUCUUCCCACGUGAGUUCCUUUUUCCAAUAUCUUCCUCCGAUUUGGUUUCUUUUCUUUUUCCCUAUAAGGUUUGGGGUGUAGCCUGUAGAUUCUAACACCGAUGUGGGAGAGAGGCCACACACCUCCGCUGCACGGCUUCGAGCCCUGGCGUUGACUGUGGAGAUCGAAGGCGAGCCUCCAUCUUCGUUUUUCCACCCGCCAAACUGAGGCGGACCUGCAAGCAUGAGCUGCUUCUGCUGAUUCGUACGUGUGAUGUAGGUUCUAGAUGCCUAAUUCGUGGUUAUGAUGUUUCAGGAUGAGGGAGGACUCUACAUAGACCUGCAUUUUUAAGGAUUUUAUUAUUCAUAAUUACUUGAUUACUUUAUGAUUAUGUUCGAAUACUUGUACAUUCCAGUCUUAGUUAGCCUAGAUUAAUUAUUUUCAUGUCUUUCUGUCGGUUUAUCAGGAUUAUUCCACAUGCCUGGAAGCUCCACCAUCGGCUGAUCUUCAAGCUCUGUGCGCUGCAGUCCCCUCAUCUGCUCGUCUACGUCUGCUCGAGUUUCUCCAAUCUUGAUUUCUGAUUUGAGCAUGAAGUGUGGAGAUGGAUCCUGGAAGAUUCAUUGGUAAGCACGAAAGCCUGUAGGACCAAAAUAUUGGUUUGUGAUUCCAUUAUGGAAACUUUGGAGAUGGAGGGUGUCGUCAAUAAUAUCAUCCAGCCAUGUAGUGCAUUGGAAGCUUUGAAGCUUGUCUCUGCCUGCAGCAGAAGUGUGUCAAAUUAUCUCACGUUUGCCAGAAAAACAAUUUGAUCACUUCUUGUAAGCCAUAUGGUCAAAUUUGUUUCCCAACUUUAGCCACUGAAACUAUCUUUGCUGUUGGAGACAAGAUCCAUAUCUGAUUGUGAGCGAAAUAUCAGUUCGUGCUGCUCCUGUAAAGUAUCAACUCAUCUGUACAUCCUCCUUGCUCAGGCAUAUGUUAAUUUCUCUGAACAUUGGUUGGACAUUGCCCAUGUAACACUCCAACUCCUAUCACCUUAGCCCCAGAUGAUACCGAUGCGUCACCCAGUGUGUUGAGCAGUUGGCCAUGGUUGGGAGCCAGGGAGCAGCACGACAUGAGGGCACGACACUCAGGCAAGAACUUACUUUGCAGAGUUAGGUAAAUCUUAGGGCAAGCAGCUCGGAUUACUGAUGGCGUGGAUGGCCGCGAGGUACUUGAUCAACGGAUUAGAUGUGGAGUGGAGUCAAUGAAGGGAUGUGUAGCAGAUCAAGUGUGAAAGUUAGGGAAAUAGGUUAAGGGAAAGAUAUUGGACCGUCAACGCAAAUCGUGAUGUGGAUGGACGGUAUUAGCCAAGAAAUUGUUUACGAAGGCAAACAUUUGUAAUAGUUUCUGGUUCCCGUGGUAUCAGUAAAGGGGCACAAAAUCUCGAACCAAACUUUUUCUGUCUUGCUACUCACAAAAGUAGAAACAUUCUUCUUAGAAUCA
Molecule: long non-coding RNA, 3758 nt
Organism: Lolium rigidum
Lineage: Eukaryota; Viridiplantae; Streptophyta; Magnoliopsida; Poales; Poaceae
Exons: 12
Source: RefSeq, a predicted model, not a curated record